Parasteatoda tepidariorum (common house spider) is the source of this 1197-nucleotide long non-coding RNA. The record is from RefSeq and is a predicted model, not a curated record. NCBI's taxonomy places the organism in Eukaryota, Metazoa, Arthropoda, Arachnida, Araneae, Theridiidae.
GUACCUAAAGUACAAAUAUUUUUUUAUUGCUUGUUUAUAAAUAUGAUUUAAAAGGAUUAUAAUCUCCAGAUAUUUAAAUUGAGCAAAAAUAUCUAUCACACAUGCAAACUUUUGCGGUACGUAUGGCUUUAUUUGAAAAUUAAUCUAUAGUUAUAACAGUUCAUUGCACUGCAAAAGAACAAGAACAAUAAACAAACAAGAAAAUUUUUGCUCUUUCCAAAAAGGAUUUUACAAAGUAGUUGCAAAAUUUUAAACCACAAAAUCAGUCAUACACAAACAUAUUUUUAUAUUUCGCCGAAGUUUUAUUAAUUUUACUCACUUGGAAUAAACCGGUUAAUAGAAUAGAAAUAUACGUCCAGUGUAGUGUAUUAAUUUUUUGUCAAGAAAUAUGAUUCCUUUUGAUAGUUCUAUUAAAUUAUCAGCAAACUAAGAUGUCUAUGAGAAAUUUACCCUCCGAAGUCCAAUUCAAAAUAAACUCUUUUAUUCGUAAUUCAUAUCCCCACCCAAGUUGAUAUUCUUCUUUCUGAUGGAAGAGGGAAGAAAGCGUUCCUUUUUUUUCACUUCAGUUCUAUCAUUUUAUUUUAUUUUUCGGUUUUCGCUGUCGGUGCAUUUAUUGUUGCCAUCCAAACGAUUUUUUGGUAGUGCAAAAUAAACAACUGAAAUCCACAAAGAGAAGAAAAUAACAAAGAAAAAAAAAUUAGCAGUUCCAACAUGUGUCCAUAGAAUGGAAUCUUCUUUCUUUCUCCAUGUCUUCGUCGGUGGCCUGGAGGCUUAGAAGAGGGGGGAAAAAUGGCUAAAUCAAAAGAAAAAGUGAAGAAAUGGGAAUAAAAAAGUCGGUACCUUCAGUGGUAUGGUGUUGCCCACCCUGAAGAUUCGCGCAAUCUGUCAAUCUAACCUUCUAAACACGUCAAAUGCUGACCUACACUCUGAUCAGACGCGUUUUGUUUUCUUCAAGUACGAGGUUCGGCUGGCGAUGACAGCAGUGGACUCCAGAUUUCCGCUGUUGAACGUGUAGAUGAAAAUAAGCGAACUCAUGAAUGAGUUUGGGACAGAAAUAGGCAUGAAAGGGGUUACUGUAUUUGUAAAUUUCUUUUUCUUUCCUCGUUCGUGAAAAUGUCGUCUGCUUGAAGACGCAUUCAUCUUCUGGAAUGUUUUAUGAUUGUAUGAGAUCGUAAGAAUUUCGUUAUUCUCAGUUCA